RNAcentral lists this ribosomal RNA (633 nucleotides) under Enterobacteriaceae bacterium RF81. RNAcentral describes it as "bacterial SSU rRNA". It matches the Rfam family "Bacterial small subunit ribosomal RNA", at positions 65 to 688 of the family's 1533-position model. The record is from RNAcentral. Lineage: Bacteria; Pseudomonadati; Pseudomonadota; Gammaproteobacteria; Enterobacterales; Enterobacteriaceae.
AACGGUAACAGGAGCAGCUUGCUGCUUCGCUGACGAGUGGCGGACGGGUGAGUAAUGUCUGGGAAACUGCCCGAUGGAGGGGGAUAACUACUGGAAACGGUAGCUAAUACCGCAUAAUGUCGCAAGACCAAAGAGGGGGACCUUCGGGCCUCUUGCCAUCGGAUGUGCCCAGAUGGGAUUAGCUUGUUGGUGAGGUAACGGCUCACCAAGGCGACCAUCCCUAGCUGGUCUGAGAGGAUGACCAGCCACACUGGAACUGAAACACGGUCCAGACUCCUACGGGAGGCAGCAGUGGGGAAUAUUGCACAAUGGGCGCAAGCCUGAUGCAGCCAUGCCGCGUGUAUGAAGAAGGCCUUCGGGUUGUAAAGUACUUUCAGCGGGGAGGAAGGGGUUAAGGUUAAUAACCUUAGCCAUUGACGUUACCCGCAGAAGAAGCACCGGCUAACUCCGUGCCAGCAGCCGCGGUAAUACCGAAGGUGCAAGCGUUAAUCGGAAUUACUGGGCGUAAAGCGCACGCAGGCGGUCUGUCAAGUCGGAUGUGAAAUCCCCGGGCUCAACCUGGGAACUGCAUUCCAAACUGGCAGGCUUGAGUCUCGUAGAGGGGGGUAGAAUUCCAGGUGUAGCGGUGAAAUG